RNAcentral lists this ribosomal RNA (465 nucleotides) under uncultured bacterium. RNAcentral's name for it is "bacterial SSU rRNA". It matches the Rfam family "Bacterial small subunit ribosomal RNA", at positions 329 to 792 of the family's 1533-position model. The record is from RNAcentral.
CACCAGACUCCUACGGGAGGCAGCAGUGAGGAAUAUUGGUCAAUGGUCGGGAGACUGAACCAGCCAAGCCGCGUGAGGGAUGAAGGUACAGAGUAUCGUAAACCUCUUUUGCCGGGGAGCAAAGAGCGGGACGCGUCCCGCCUCGAGAGUACCCGGAGAAAAAGCAUCGGCUAACUCCGUGCCAGCAGCCGCGGUAAUACGGAGGAUGCGAGCGUUAUCCGGAUUUAUUGGGUUUAAAGGGUGCGCAGGCGGAGGUGCAAGUCAGCGGUCAAAUUGCGGGGCUCAACCCCGUACUGCCGUUGAAACUGCAUCCCUUGAGUGCGCGAGAAGUAUGCGGAAUGCGUGGUGUAGCGGUGAAAUGCAUAGAUAUCACGCAGAACUCCGAUUGCGAAGGCAGCAUACCGGCGCGCAACUGACGCUCAUGCACGAAAGCGUGGGUAUCGAACAGGAUUAGAUACCCCCGUA